Molecule: ribosomal RNA, 400 nt
Filed under: uncultured Nitrososphaerota archaeon
Lineage: Archaea; Thermoproteati; Nitrososphaerota
Description: bacterial SSU rRNA
Rfam family: Archaeal small subunit ribosomal RNA
Source: RNAcentral
UAAAACCAGCACCUCGAGUGGUCAGGAGGUUUAUUGGGCCUAAAGCAUCCGUAGCCGGUUGCAUAAGUUUUCGGUUAAAUCUAUGCGCUUAACGUAUAGGCCGCCGAAAAUACUGUGCAGCUAGGGAGUGGGAGAGGUACACGGUACUCGAUAGGAAGGGGUAAAAUCCUUUGAUCUAUUGAUGACCACCUGUGGCGAAGGCGGUGUACCAGAACACGUUCGACGGUGAGGGAUGAAAGCUGGGGGAGCAAACCGGAUUAGAUACCCGGGUAGUCCCAGCUGUAAACGAUGCAGACUCGGUGAUGCAUUGGCUUGUGGCCAAUGCAGUGCCGCAGGGAAGCCGUUAAGUCUGCCGCCUGGGAAGUACGUACGCAAGUAUGAAACUCAAAGGAAUUGACGG